Molecule: transfer RNA, 75 nt
Filed under: Priestia megaterium
Lineage: Bacteria; Bacillati; Bacillota; Bacilli; Caryophanales; Bacillaceae
Also listed under: 5 other names
Description: Bacillus megaterium tRNA-Asn
Rfam family: tRNA
About the family: Transfer RNA (tRNA) molecules are approximately 80 nucleotides in length. Their secondary structure includes four short double-helical elements and three loops (D, anti-codon, and T loops).
Source: RNAcentral
UCCACAGUAGCUCAGUGGUAGAGCAAUCGGCUGUUAACCGAUUGGUCGUAGGUUCGAGUCCUACCUGUGGAGCCA